Pieris napi is the source of this 2316-nucleotide long non-coding RNA. RefSeq lists it as uncharacterized. The record is from RefSeq and is a predicted model, not a curated record. The transcript is spliced from 3 exons. NCBI's taxonomy places the organism in Eukaryota, Metazoa, Arthropoda, Insecta, Lepidoptera, Pieridae.
UUAAUUAACGUUUAAGAAUAAUCAAAAUAGAAAUUAACUUAAUCUCGUUUUGAUAGAUUUUAGGUAAAAUUUGAUGAAUGCUGAGUAUAUGCCUUUUCAGUAGCACAUUGCAGUAUUUUUGUUGUCUUUUUAAUUGUAUGUAGUCUUGUGCUGCUGAAUAAAUUUAUUUUACUUUUAAAUUAUAGUGUUCCAUUCAAACUUGAGUUUUUGUAAAAUUAACUGGUUUUAUCAUCCUUUAGAUGUUUUACAAAGAAACAUCAAUGCAUCGAGUAUAUCAAUACAACUUCAAAUAAUCGGUUUCAAUGUAUCAAUGGAUAAAAAAUCGACUAUGAUUGAUUUUCAAUUAUAAAAAUAAUCGAUUAUUUUAAAUAUAAAAAUCGCGUAAAAAAAUCGAUUUUUACUUUUUAAAAAAUCGAUUAAAAUCGAUUUUUUUAAUAAUCGAUUAUUUUUUCACAUCCCUAGUCUCACGUGUAUCAGAAUAAAAUUGCUAUUUAAUUGUUACUCGACUUUUAAACCUAUUCCAGGCUACAUUCCAACGAAAACAUACAACUAUAAUUAUUGUUGGUUGCAAAUAUAGUUAGUUUGGUACUCUUUAAUCUUUACAAUUGUUAGUAAAACACAAUAGGUAGAUAGCGCUACAUCAUAACUUAACGAAAAAUUAUUAUUAUUAUUCAUUAUCUAUUUUGUUUUUAUCAAUGUUCAUUUAGAUUUGUUUGUUAGUCUGUGGAAAAGACAUUGACAUAUGUCAUUUUUAUUUUUUUAAUUUGAUUAUGAAGUGUUUGUUACGAGUACAUUUUUAAUUGAUUAUAAAAGAAAUAGGAUAAAAGUGAUUUUUAACUGAAAUAGCAUUUGCAACACAUUUGAGUGUAACUCCCUUAUAAAACAACAUUUUUGUUUGUUUAAAUUGUAAUUUAUACAAAGAAACAAAAAUGUCUGAAAGUGACGCCACCAGACUUUGUUUCGUGUUCAAGCUAAUGCCGGCCAAGAUGCAAAAUCUAAUAUUCUUUGUGUUGUUUGGUUGGUUGUAAUGACAAGUAAUGGAAAAAUGUUUGCUUUGCCAGAAGAAUUACAGUCGAUAAAUCAGCAUAAAGAAAUUGCUAAAACUGCCGCAUAUGUAAAAGUUAAAAAUAGCUUAAAAAAACGAUAUCAAGUAAGAAGAGUUUGGUUAGGUAAAGUCAUGUCAUGUAUGACAAUUUGAAAAUCAAUAUCGCGAAGAAAUCUAUUCAGAAAAGCCGAAGACAAUUGAAAACAUUAAACAGACAGAUACUAUUAAAAACAUAUUAAAUGAACUAAUGGAAAAUAAGCAACAAAACCUAAAAAAUAUUGCUGAGAAAUUUGUGCACGAAAAAUUCAUAAGCACAAAUUCUAAUGCUAUGCAAUGGAUGAAUAUGUUUGAAAAUGAAUGCAUUCGUUUUGACUAGUUAUGAUGAUUUCGGGCUGCGCUUGAAAUCUACGAUUACGACGUAGAAACCACAACACUAUCUGAAAUGAUGCAGUCUUUGAAUGACAUGUACAAGCUUCUUCAAGAGGAAGACCUGUGGUCCGGUCUGUGGCAGAAACACGUGUCAAAUAUAUCGCGAGACAAACAAGGAUUCUUUGAACAAGCACAGGCAGCAUAAUAUGAUGUAGCUAUGGCCAAAUUAAGAAGCCAGAAAGAGUAUUCUGCAAAUCCAUCAUCAUACAAUAAACACUUAAAUACCCUUUCCCCAGGACACUUUCUUAUUGGACGACCAUUAACCUCAGUGCCUUCUAAAGGUCUAGGUGAAUUCAAAUUUAGUCACUUACAAAGGUACCAGAGAAUUGAGCAAUUAAGGCAGCACUUUCGGAGACGAUGGCAAAAGGAGUACAUGGCGGAAUUACAACAGCGCACUAAAUGGAGAGAGAACUCUGCCAAUCUUAAUAUUGGGGACCUAGUGCUGAUAGCCGAGCAAAAUACUGCUCCUCUCUGCUGGAAGUUAGGUCGAGUGCGGCUGAUAAAUGGCGGCUUAGAUGGAGUGGCCAGAGUGGCAGAGAUUAAAACCAGCAGCGGCUGCAUAACACGUUCAUUGGUCCGGCUGUGCAAGUUGCCGGUACAAGAAGAAUAAAAAAGAAUGUUGAAAGAGUUUCAACGGCCGGGAGUAUGUUGCGACAUUGCGCAAGUUUUAUAUCAGGCGCAUUUUAAAAUUAUAAUUGUAAGGCGGGGCGACGUGCGCCAAAAAGCUGAAACCUCCAGGAAUUAAAUCGGUUAUUCAAGGCUCAAGUCAACUGUAGUUUCCAGUAUUUAUAUUAAAUAAUAAGGAUUUUACAUAUCUUAGAAAUAAAUAAAACAAAUUAAUA